RNAcentral lists this unclassified non-coding RNA (180 nucleotides) under uncultured Cladophialophora. RNAcentral describes it as "sequence contains ITS1". The record is from RNAcentral. Lineage: Eukaryota; Fungi; Ascomycota; Eurotiomycetes; Chaetothyriales; Herpotrichiellaceae.
AUGAGUUAGGGUCCUCCGGGCCCGACCUCCAACCCUUUGUUUUAACUACCAUGUUGCUUUGGCGGGCCCGUCUUUAACCGGACCGUCGGGGGUUUUUAACCUCUGGCCAGUGCCCGUCAGUAGCCUUACCACAAAUACCUUUUUAACCAUGUUAUAUCUGAAAAAUAGUUAAAUAAACUA